UACGUAGGAAGCAAGCGUUAUCCGGAUUUACUGGGCGUAAAGUGAGCGUAGGUGGCUUUUCAAGUCGGAUGUGAAAUCUCCUGGCUUAACUGGGAGGGGUCAUUCGAUACUGUUGGGCUAGAGGACAUCAAGGGAAGGUGGAAUUCCGGGUGUAGUGGUGAAAUGCGUAGAUAUCCGGAGGAACACCAGUGGCGAAGGCGGCCUUCUGGGAUGUUUCUGACACUGAGGCUCGAAAGUGUGGGGAGCGAACAGGAUUAGAUACCCUGGUAGUCCACACUGUAAACUAUGGACACUAGGUAUAGGGAGUUUCGACCCUUUCUGUGCCGAAGCUAACGCUUUAAGUGUCCCGCCUGGGGACUACGGCCGCAAGGUUA
Molecule: ribosomal RNA, 374 nt
Filed under: uncultured prokaryote
Description: bacterial SSU rRNA
Rfam family: Bacterial small subunit ribosomal RNA
Source: RNAcentral